Molecule: ribosomal RNA, 443 nt
Filed under: uncultured bacterium
Lineage: Bacteria
Description: partial 16S ribosomal RNA
Rfam family: Bacterial small subunit ribosomal RNA
Source: RNAcentral
UCUACGGGAGGCAGCAGUGGGGAAUAUUGCACAAUGGGGGGAACCCUGAUGCAGCAAUGCCGCGUGAAGGAUGAAGGUUUUCGGAUUGUAAACUUCUUUUGUACGGGACGAAGAAAGUGACGGUACCGUAAGAAUAAGCCACGGCUAACUACGUGCCAGCAGCCGCGGUAAUACGUAGGUGGCAAGCGUUAUCCGGAUUUACUGGGUGUAAAGGGCGAGUAGGCGGGAUUGCAAGUCAGAUGUGAAAACUAUGGGCUCAACCGAUAGAGUGCAUUUGAAAAUGCAGUUCUUGAGUGAUGGAGAGGCAGGCGGAAUUCCCGGUGUAGCGGUGGAAUGCAUAGAUAUCACACAGAACACCGAUUGCGAAGGCAUCUCACGAAUCCGCGAUUGACGCUGAUGCACGAAAGCGUGGGUAUCAAACAGGAUUAGAUACCCUAGUAGUC